Molecule: ribosomal RNA, 302 nt
Filed under: Alphaproteobacteria bacterium
Lineage: Bacteria; Pseudomonadati; Pseudomonadota; Alphaproteobacteria
Description: bacterial SSU rRNA
Rfam family: Bacterial small subunit ribosomal RNA
Source: RNAcentral
AACGAACGCUGGCGGCAGGCUUAACACAUGCAAGUUGAGCGGGAAUGAUUAGUAGCUUGCUAUUGAUCAUGAGAGCAGCGCACUGGUGAGUAACACGUGGGAACAUACCUUUUGGGUGGGGGACAACAGAGGGAAACUUCUGCUAAUACCGCAUAAGCCCUAAGGGGGAAAGAUUUAUCGCCGAGAGAUUGGCCCGCGGAAGAUUAGGUAGUAGGUGGGGUAACGGCCUACCUAGCCGACGAUCUAUAGCUGGUCUGAGAGGACGAUCAGCCACAUUGGAACUGAGACACGGUCCAGACUCC